CGUCUCUCCUCGUGUUGCACUCAGGUAUGAUCACCGUGGUGGACGGCCAACCGGUUCUCGCGGAUCCCCUUAAGGAGUGGAAGAUCCUGGUGACCCAUUACGGCGGACUGGCCGGCCUCGCCCUCGUCGGACUCCUCGUGGCGGCUAUCCUCCCCUGCGCGGGUCUCUUCUUCUGUUGCUGCAGAUGCGCGGGCCACUGCGGCGCCCGCAGUCAGCCCUUCGACAAGAAGCACGAUCAUUGCAGGAAGAUUAUGCUCAGCAUCGUGCUGAUCGGCGUCGCCACCAUUCUGCUCUUCGGCGUGGUGUGCGCCUUUGUCACCAACGAGUACAUGCAGGAGGGCACCAAAGAGCUUCCGCACAACGCCAAGACCAGCCUGAAGGACGUGAAGCUCUACUUGAGCUCCACGAAACAAGAGAUUGAGAAUCUGCUGAAGACCAACUGCGAGGAGCUAGAGGUCACGCUCAACAAUAUCCUCCAGGCCAGCGGCAAGAUCGUCACCGAGCAGUUGGCGGAGUAUUCCCACGCCGUCUCCCUGACGAAUCUCAAUGACAUCGUCACCGGCCUGGAGUCGAUCAGAGAGGACCUGCGGCUCAUGAAUAAGAUAACGCAGGAACUGCGAAUAAACGCCAGUCAAUUGGACAUCGUUGUUCGCGGCGUCAAGAAGAAUCUUCUCCACACGUUAGCCGCGUGCACGACCGACAAGUGCCAGCGAGUCCUGCACGACUACAAAGUGAAUCAAAUGUCAGUCCAAGUAGACUUCGAUAAGUACAUGGACCGUUACUUCCCGAAGCUUCAGUCUCUGCCGGACGUUACGUUCGCGUUACAUAACAUCACCGUGCUGAUGGAAGGCAACAUAGUGUCGGAGGUGAGCCAAGGCAGAGAGUCGUUCCUGAAGAUCCAGAAGGACAUUCAGCACGCUGUGAAUCAGACGAUCCCCGUGGUCAGCGCGAGCAUCCGACGUGCUUGUAACUUUCUAGCCAACAUCGCCACCAACAUGACUGCCCUCAUCGACAGACUGAAUGCCGACAUAGAUAGAGUUUAUAUUCCGCAUUUAGACAUCGCCCGGAACAACAUAGAUCAGUAUUCGCCCUAUAGAUACUACCUCGGCCUGGGUAUAUCCGGCAUUCUUCUGACUGUCUUGAUGUGCUUGACGUGCGGCCUCCUCUGCGGCAUUUGCGGAAAGCGCCCGGACGGAUACGGGGACGAUUGCUGUAACAAAGGGUCAGGUGCACGCUUUCUCAUGAUGGCCGUGUGGAUCAUCUUUCUCCUGACGAGUGUGUUGAUGGUUAUAACCGUGGCUCACAUGGUAACCGGUGUUAUGGCUCAGCGCGGUAUCUGCGAGCCCCUGAAGAACCCGAAAGACAACAGAAUGUUUGAGCUGGUCGACGAACUCGUGCAGAUCAAGAGGAUACUUUACCCGAAGAAUCCGAAAGCGAAUAUCAAUAUGAGUUACAUCGUUACCAAGUGCCACGAAAACGAGACGCUCUACGACGUGUUGAAUCUGAAGAAUCUCUACGACGUGGAGAAUCUACGCGAUUACGCCGGUCGCUACGACAUCAACGACACGAUCCAACAGCUGCGACGUAAGAUCAGCCUCUCCCCCGGCGUGGUGAUUUUAAAAGACAGCGCGAGGUCCAAGCUGAACGACCUCGCGCAGAGUGGUCUCAGCGACAUCAAGUUUUACCAGUAUGCCGAGUUGCUCGCCGAAAACAUCACAAACAUCAACUUGGAACACCUCGCCAAGCAACUGCGCGAGGUUUCCGCCAAGUUGCCGGGCGGUCAAGAGGACAUCAGGGACAGUCUCGAGAAGAACGCUCACGACUUGGAGCAUUAUCACAGAGACCUGGUCAUGCCGAUGGCCAUGCUCAGCGAGCAACUGAGCGCCAAUGCGCUGAUGCUCCAAGAGAACAUCAAGUUCAAUCACAGCUCGAUGGCGGAAGCUAUUCACGACCUAGUGGACGAGGUCACCAAGGCGCAACAGUUUCUGAACAAAGACGGCCCGGAGUAUGUUCAAUAUCUCGCGACCAGGUUUGGCAACGCGUUUCUACAUCAGGUGGACAAGUUCCUCGAUCAUGUCAUCUUAAAGUCCAUCAAGGAGAUCGGGAGGUGCGCUCCCGUUUCGAACGCUUACAACGCGACACUCGUGGCAGGAUGCAAUAAGGUCCUGGAUCCAUUCAACGGUUUCUGGGCGAGCGUCGGCUGGUGCUUGAUCCUAUUCAUACCGACGAUAGUGCUCUGCGUGAAGCUGAGCGCCCUGUACCAAAAGUCGGAUCCGUAUCCGGGGCCCCUCGUUGAAGCUGAAUAUUUGUAUGACGCGUACGCAGACAGGGAUAACAUACCCCUCGCCCACGUGCACGACAAGAAGCACGUCUCCCACGGUAGACACCAUCCGUCGGCGUACGUGGAGAGCUACGAUGGACCCGCGGGAUACAACGAGCGAGAGAGGAUUGCCGACGCUCAUCAAAGUACGUCGCACCAUGACUCAAGAUACUCCGACCUGGCGCCGAAGUGAGUGGGAACCCUGCGGGGGGGUCAACCUCUCGCGUCUCUCGAUACGCCUCUGCACAAAUUGGGACUUCCCCAACGGUGGACCGCCAAGGUAUCAACCAGCUGCCGGGGCACCGCCUCCAUUAAGUACCGAGUAUGAACGACCGCCGCCCUAUUACUAUCCUGGACCGGG
Molecule: unclassified non-coding RNA, 2681 nt
Filed under: Harpegnathos saltator (Jerdon's jumping ant)
Lineage: Eukaryota; Metazoa; Arthropoda; Insecta; Hymenoptera; Formicidae
Description: prominin-like protein, transcript variant X8
Source: RNAcentral